UUUUAGAUGACAUUUACACGAUAUGAUCACUUACACAUCCAGUCAUCACAAAAACAAAAGUCUCAGUAAUCUGGUUCAUAUUUAUGACAGCAAGAGAAACCAAAAGUCACAAGCUUUUCAUCACUUAGACAACUACAACAGGACAAGAACAACAACAACACACACCUAAACCACUAAAACAGAACAUGAAACAUAAAUAUGAAACAAGAACAACAACAGCACAUAGACACUCGUUUUAAGAGCAGUUGAGUGAUCGUACCAUCACCAGCAUCGUCAUUAGUAGCAGUAGCAAAACUCCAUAUGUGUUG
This 308-nucleotide long non-coding RNA is filed under the name Brassica napus (rape). Its description in RNAcentral is "long non-coding RNA (BNAP_LNC009680)". Lineage: Eukaryota; Viridiplantae; Streptophyta; Magnoliopsida; Brassicales; Brassicaceae. The record is from RNAcentral.